This is a non-coding RNA of Cherax quadricarinatus, 71 nucleotides long. The record is from RefSeq and is a predicted model, not a curated record. Lineage: Eukaryota; Metazoa; Arthropoda; Malacostraca; Decapoda; Parastacidae.
GGAUUGACGGUGAGAGUGAUGGUCUGGGGGGGAGGGUGAAGGACUGUGAUUCCAGAAGUCAAUCUGUGUCC